GCGUAAGGAACUUGCCUCUUGGUCUGGGACAACUGUUGGAAACGACAGCUAAUACCAGAUAUUAUGAGAUUCUCGCAUGAGAAACUUAUGAAAGCUAUAUGCGCCAAGAGAGAGCCUUGCGUUCCAUUAGCUAGUUGGUGGGGUAACGGCCCACCAAGGCGACGAUGGAUAGCCGGCCUGAGAGGGUGAACGGCCACAAGGGGACUGAGACACGGCCCUUACUCCUACGGGAGGCAGCAGUGGGGAAUAUUGGACAAUGGGCCACAAGCCUGAUCCAGCAAUUCUGUGUGCACGAUGAAGGUCUUCGGAUUGUAAAGUGCUUUCAGUUGGGAAGAAGAAAGUGACGGUACCAACAGAAGAAGCGACGGCUAAAUACGUGCCAGCAGCCGCGGUAAUACGUAUGUCGCAAGCGUUAUCCGGAUUUAUUGGGCGUAAAGCGCGUCUAGGCGGAAAAAUAAGUCUGAUGUUAAAAUGCGGGGCUCAACUCCGUAUUGCGUUGGAAACUGUUUUUCUAGAGUACUGGAGAGGUGGGCGGAACUACAAGUGUAGAGGUGAAAUUCGUAGAUAUUUGUAGGAAUGCCGAUGGAGAAGUCAGCUCACUGGACAGAUACUGACGCUAAAGCGCGAAAGCGUGGGGAGCAAAC
Molecule: ribosomal RNA, 644 nt
Filed under: uncultured bacterium
Lineage: Bacteria
Description: bacterial SSU rRNA
Rfam family: Bacterial small subunit ribosomal RNA
Source: RNAcentral